GAUUCUGAUGUCUGCAUUUACACAAACUGAUAGUUUUUCCAGGACGGUUCCCAAUGUAGAUUCCUUUUGGCCUCUUACUCUUAGCACUGACUUAGUCUAUUCCCACCUUCUGCCACCUUCUCAAUCUCUCUUCUCUUCCCUGCCUCAUGUUGCAAGUGCUGAAGGAUUCUGGAGCUGGGACAAUGUGCUACUACCACAGAAAGGCAGCUGGUCUGUUCCCCAACCCAUGCUGGGCAGGCAUGCAGCCCUCCUGCUGGAUAGGUGGACUUGUCUGUCAAAGCCUUUCUCUGGAUCUCAAGGUUGAAGAUGCUGAGGAAGGAGAGAAGGAUGGUGUUGAGCACUGUGGCAAUGGAAAGCAGUCAUAUGUUGUCCCAGUAGAUUCUCACAGGCAGCCCUCGCAAUUCCCUCAAUGUCUGUAAAAUUAUCAAGAACACAAAAUGCCUGCAAGGAAAUUUUUCUUUCUUCUCCAGCUGCUCUUUGAGACAGAGAUGUGUGUCAUUUAGGGGGAACCAGAGGAUUAAGCAUUAAAUUGCCUGACAGACAGAGCACUUGAGGCCCAUGCAAACUAAAUAUCUUCAUAAAGAUAAGACAAUUUCAAGAGAAGACAAUUCCAAGCUUCUUGUCAAGCAUGACUGAGAAAGAAGUGAUCUUACUAGAGGAAGAAAUGACUAGCAGCUUGAAGCACUUGAGCAAGAAAUACGAACUGUAGAGUAAAAUUCUGACACAGCCUCAGAGGAUGCUGAGAGGAGCUUUGAAAAGUUAAUUUCUCCUGAGGUUCAGGAAGCCGAAGGGAAACCCCCUGAGAAGCCAGGGGAACUGUCACCUGUCUACUCUGAUGUGUCAUCUUGCAGGAAAUGCUGUAGCCUGACAAAGUAGCAAAGGGAAAAAAAUGAGAAAAGACUAGUUCUGUGUCUUGGAAUUGACCCAGAGCGGGAGACUUGUUCCAAUACUGCAAGCUGAGCACUUCAGGCUUCAGAUGCAAACAGGCUCUGGAGAGAAACAGGCAAAUGCAAACAACACUCCAGGGAAAAGAUGCUGAUGAAAGGUAUUGUGCUGUGUGCUAAAAAAGAAAAAAGAAGAGUGCUUCAAACAGCUGAAGGGCCCACAGAGGUCUGAACAAAUGAAAAGUGGUAAAGUACAACAUGGGAGUCUUCAAAAACUGGAUUUUCAUGGGACCUUCAGAUGCUUUCCUGAAGGCUGAGGCUCCCUCUUUGCUGUGAACAGGGUGAGUGAGACUUCUGAGAGCAUGGUCCACAGCAGCUGGCAGACUGAGCAAGAAACAAAGCAAUGAGAAAUGCUGAGCCCCUCAGUAACACAAAAGCUUUACACAGGGUCACAAGGAGGUAUGUCUCCACUCAUGGUUUGCAGCCUACAGUUCUCUUCCAGAACUGGAUAAAUACUUCAUUUCAAAAGCACACAAUGUCAUAGCCCUUGCAAUGAGAUAUGAGAACUAGUGCUGCUUGCUGACACCCUUCACAACAUCCCUACACUGACAAUUCAUUUACAAGGAGGUUUGAAACCACAGCCCUCAGUUCCAGAAGACUGAACUGACCUCUCUGUCCCUCCCAGUGAAGCAGUUCCUCUGGCUACUCUCAGACACCAAGGACAUGUAAUGCUUUCUAGCCUCCCAUCUCUGUUCACAACCAGUGGUUGAUCAAGGGUCUGCGAAUGAAUAGUGAAACUCUCAAUGUCAGCUGCUAAAGGAGAUGAGUCUUGAGCAAGGUGCAGCAGAACUUUCUGUCCCAGUGGGGCAGGGGGAAGCAAGGGAGGAAAUGGGAAAAUUCAGUCAAUUGAAAAACCAUCCUGGCCAGGAAUGUCUUUGGUUUCUUAACUGCCUGAUUUAAAAAGAAAAAUACAACAACCAAACAAACAAGUGAAAAGAAGAUGAAGAAGAAGAAAAAAAAAUAGGCUGUGGUAGAAAAGGCACAGUUACUCAAUUAGUCAGUCAUUUCCAGUUCAAAUAUUUCCAUAAGUGCUUGGCAGUGUUUUUUCUAUGUAAGGGACGUCUACUGCUGGUGAAAGAUUUCUUAGAUGUCAGAGAAUUCCCCUUGAUGACAAACUCUCCUCAGACAAGCUCCAGUCUGGGCAAUUUCCCUCUGGAACCUUUCACAACUUGUUUGUUCAAGCAUUCUGAAUCUUCUUAAAAUAAAAGCCAGUUGGCUAUCAGUCGCAUUUCCAAACUGACUCACUGAGAGAGGCAGUGCUGAAGUGUAGGAAAAUUCCUAAAUUUAAGACACCAGGAGCAUGCUACAUACUUGACCUGAAUACUUUACCUUUAUAGAAAACAUUUACACAAAUCCUUGGUGUGUCUCAAAAGGGUGUACACACAAGUUGUGUUUAAGAAUCAUUUUAUCUGUUACUAAAAUUCAUUCUAAUCUGGGUUAUAACUUUGCAACUGAAAACUGGCAAUUCUUACACAGGAAAGUAUCCAGGUGGUAAGUAAAGAGAAAUACUGCCAUCUUACAUGUUCUGAGAACCUAAACUCCCUCAGAAGUUCUAAAAACCUAAAUAAUUUUAUAUUGUCCAUUGCUUUGAAUUUAGACUCCUUACAGAAAAUGUUGUGGACUUGUAGUCAGCCCCAGGAGCCGAAGAGGCUGAAGCUUAGCUCUACUAAGCUUGCCAGUCUCAGAAGAGAUUUACAAGAUAGGGAAUUCAUGACCUGGCUCUGCAAGCAGGCAACAGAUUGUGCCACUUAUUAAAACUAUUAAAGUAUAUAUGGACAUCACAGCAGUUCUGCCCUCUUCUGCUCUGCUUUUGAAUGGCUGUGUCAUGGAGAUCACCUUCUGUAGUUUGCAUGUUAACCAAAUCAGCCUUGCAGGUUUGCUGGAAAUCUAGAAGGCUUUGCCAAGAAGCUAGAAGCUGUUCUUCCCAGUUCACAUCUCCCCUCUAAGACAGCUGCCUUACAAGUCAAGCAAUGCACAUAUGAACACAACACACCUUAGUCCAAACUGAAGAGCAGAAUACAGCCAAACUCUAAUUAUUAAUCCAAGAGCAGAGCAUACCCUCACAAAGGGACAUACAGGCCAGCCAGCACAAAAGUAGGAUUAUGAACAGUAAUGACAAAAAGGAAAAUGUUAAUUAUGGUACAUGUCUCCAUUAUGAAAAAAAUGUCUAAAAAUAGCUACUCAUUUAUUCCCAAACUUCAGAAAGUGGUUACUAUGCCAGUAACAUAGGAUCGUCAAUCACAGCAUUUGUGGCUUUGUCUUAUUUUCCUUUGUUGCUUAUGCCAGCAAAUCACAUACAAGGACAGCUAAUGAAUAUUCCUCAUACUGGAGAAUGCUCUAAUGCUCUCUUAAAAAAAGAUCUAAAUGA
This is a long non-coding RNA of Haemorhous mexicanus (house finch), 3312 nucleotides long. RefSeq lists it as uncharacterized. Lineage: Eukaryota; Metazoa; Chordata; Aves; Passeriformes; Fringillidae. The record is from RefSeq and is a predicted model, not a curated record. The transcript is spliced from 2 exons.